GCCGGCAGCUAGCUCUCUGCAACUCUCACAUGGUCGCCCACUGAAGCUAAGCAGGGCUGCGCCCGAUCAGUACCUGGAUGGGGGACCACAUGGGUAAGCUAGGUCACUGCCGGAA
RNAcentral lists this ribosomal RNA (115 nucleotides) under Danio rerio (zebrafish). Lineage: Eukaryota; Metazoa; Chordata; Actinopteri; Cypriniformes; Danionidae. The record is from RNAcentral.